Molecule: ribosomal RNA, 727 nt
Filed under: Bacillus licheniformis
Lineage: Bacteria; Bacillati; Bacillota; Bacilli; Caryophanales; Bacillaceae
Description: bacterial SSU rRNA
Rfam family: Bacterial small subunit ribosomal RNA
Source: RNAcentral
GAACGCKGGCGGCGUGCYUAAUACAUGCAAGUCGAGCGGACCGACGGGAGCUUGCUCCCUUAGGUCAGCGGCGGACGGGUGAGUAACACGUGGGUAACCUGCCUGUAAGACUGGGAUAACUCCGGGAAACCGGGGCUAAUACCGGAUGCUUGAUUGAACCGCAUGGUUCAAUCAUAAAAGGUGGCUUUUAGCUACCACUUACAGAUGGACCCGCGGCGCAUUAGCUAGUUGGUGAGGUAACGGCUCACCAAGGCGACGAUGCGUAGCCGACCUGAGAGGGUGAUCGGCCACACUGGGACUGAGACACGGCCCAGACUCCUACGGGAGGCAGCAGUAGGGAAUCUUCCGCAAUGGACGAAAGUCUGACGGAGCAACGCCGCGUGAGUGAUGAAGGUUUUCGGAUCGUAAAACUCUGUUGUUAGGGAAGAACAAGUACCGUUCGAAUAGGGCGGUACCUUGACGGUACCUAACCAGAAAGCCACGGCUAACUACGUGCCAGCAGCCGCGGUAAUACGUAGGUGGCAAGCGUUGUCCGGAAUUAUUGGGCGUAAAGCGCGCGCAGGCGGUUUCUUAAGUCUGAUGUGAAAGCCCCCGGCUCAACCGGGGAGGGUCAUUGGAAACUGGGGAACUUGAGUGCAGAAGAGGAGAGUGGAAUUCCACGUGUAGCGGUGAAAUGCGUAGAGAUGUGGAGGAACACCAGUGGCGAAGGCGACUCUCUGGUCUGUAA